This 2200-nucleotide long non-coding RNA is filed under the name Hordeum vulgare. RNAcentral's name for it is "long non-coding RNA (HVUL_LNC016830)". Lineage: Eukaryota; Viridiplantae; Streptophyta; Magnoliopsida; Poales; Poaceae. The record is from RNAcentral.
UGUUGACUGAACAAAUAAUAGUUCAUGAGAUUAUGAUUCUUUUCUUGUAGUACCGCGCGUGUGCACAACCAUAAUUUAACCUUGCUUUGGGUUUCCGUUGGUUGGACUAGGACUGGUGAUGGGCCGGGCGGAUCCAUCCGGCACCGGGGAUCGGACGAGAGAUCCGAGGCCGGAAACCUGGAAAGAGACGAGCCGACAUUAAAUUGUCGCUGUGUCCCAAAUGGCAUCGGGAUCCUAAACCGGAAGAUCGAACUCACCACUUCCUUCUCCUCCUCGUCUCUCACGUCACCUGCCAGCCAGCCAGCCAGCCAGCCAGCGGAGCAACGCAGGCCUGCACCUACUCUACCACAACUCCUACGUUGCCAUUUCCAUGGAUCGAUGCACGAUCACUUCUCUAUGCACCGGUAGUAGUAGAUCGAUGCUUCGCCUGGUGCUUCCAAGCCUGAGAUUCCCUGAUAACCCCGGGGCGUAAUGCCGCCAUUAACUAACGUAAUCGCCUUGUCGAAUGGUCAAUUGGUUGCAUCAGGUCAGCCGUGGAGCGCCUUGACUGUUGACUUAACCAUCCGUAUUUAUAUCCGGGCGUUAAUCCAGUUAAGUUGUUGAUUCGAACACUGCUAGGCCUGGACGUUGUGAAAAACAAUGUACGCGCUCCAUGAAUAUUGCUUCUGCUCCCCAUCAGGAGGCGUGCUGGUUUAGAAACUCGGACUAUCAUGACAGGGUGUGAUUGAUGUGCGUUGACUUUCUACUCGCAUCAAUAGUUGCCACUGCUGGUACGGUAUUGACUGCAUCACUCGCUUGACAAAAAAAGAGAUGGUACGUACUCCGCGUGACUAGCCGAGUACCACUUCUGCAACAUUGAAUUGUUCGGAUGAACUUUUCGUCCCCGAUGUACGGAAACAAAAUACUAAAUAUUAUUACCACUUUCCCCCCCCUGUGAGUGGCAGUGUUAGGAAGAAGACACAGGCUAGCAGAUGGAGCCCAAAUCACAGUGCUUUUGAUUUGUUAGAUUGCAUUUGGAACACGGAGAACCAUUUUGCUAAAAUGGAUUAAUUGAUGGAUCGCUGGCUGGUUGAUGGUGAUAUGGCCGGCCUGUGCGAGUGGAGGGAGUAGUACACCAACUACAGCAAAUUCAGGUUUCCAUUUACUCCGAUUCAUUGCUGGCGCGCCCUCAUUAUUUCCCUUAAAUGUUGAUACACUAUCCUGUGCGCGUCAAUUGAAUUGAAUUGAAUUGAAUUCAUUUGGCCGAUCGAGCUCCCGGUGGAUGGACGUAUUUAUCAUGGGAGUAAUCUCCCUCGCUGCGGCUGCAAAGCUGGACUACUCCGCCACUAGUCUGCAGCUGAUGAUGAAUAUAUAUUGGCAUCUUACACUUGAACGAAAAGAAGACCAGUACUGUACGUACGUGCUCCCGCUGCUCUCUCUCUCUCUCUCUCUCUCUCGACAAGUUAAUUUUAGCAGGAAAUUGAGGACAUGAUAUAGUUAGUAGAGCUUAACAACGGCAUUUGCCUUCUUUCACACCUUGGUCUCGUGUCCCUAUCACCGGGAAUAAUGAAGGUCGCAUGAGAUUGGUCAUGAUCAUGGCGACGUUUGCGUUUGUAGCCAUCACAAAUCGGGCAUUUCGAGGUUGAGCUCCGGAUGCGCACAGGUGCGGCACCAGGCGUCGAGAAGACAGUGAACUCGUUUUUUCUUUUUCUUUUUUACCAUUUUCCAGUUGCCCAUCCCCUGCUGUCCCCUCACCCUAGCUAUCUAUCAGCUUGACUAGACACCACGGGUAGGAGUACAUGCAUGACAUCUCCAAGACGUGACGACUGAAAACAAAAAAAAACGAGAGAGAACGUGUGAUAUAUUUGAGCCUUGGCAACUUCUGUGAAAAAGACAGAUGACCUGCUCGAUGAUCAAUGCCUUCUCUCGCACAGGCGGUGCAGAUUUAUGCAAGCCCGUUUGUAGUCAAGCAUCCAGCAUGCUGGUCUGGUGUAUUCAAGGAACCUGUUUAGCAUGGUGAUUGGCGUCUGUCGUCGUUGAAGGAUUGAUUCUCCCAUCGGAUUAUAAUAUAUAAAAGAUGAGGGUCAAGGAACCCGACUGGUGGAACACCGAGGGUGCGCGCGCGUGGCGGCUGCAUGCAUGCGCUAGACCGGCGGCAGUGCUCCGGCCGGGGUGGGUGAAUACACCCCAGCGACCGAGCGCAGCGAAGCGUAAAUGAGCG